CGCUUCCGGUCUUGGCCUGCAUGCGGCAGAGCCGGAGGCCCAGCAGGACUGGGUGUCCUCUGGAGCCUGGCCCGUGCCCCACCCACCUUGGGUCUGGCUCCCUCCCUUGCUGGAGCCUCCUCGCAGGCGUUGGUGCUGGUCACGGCUGAGGGAAGGAGCACAGGAUGGAUUCUCUCUGGGUGGCCCCGCCACUCCAGGCCACACUGCAGGCCCUGGCCCUCUGGGGUCCUUAUGGUCCUUACCGGCCCCUCCAGCCUGGCUCCUGCUCAGGGAGACAGAAGCCCCAGGCCAAGCAGAGCGUGGAUCAGAUGCCGACAGAUGGAAUGAGGGUUGUCUCCGGCCUGCACAAGCCUUGGAUCCUGCAUCAGGAUCCAGCCAAGGAUCAUAUGUCCCAUUCAGCUGCCACGUUUCCUGGUCUCCUUCACCUUCACAGUGCUGGCCCUUUUCAGCAAUCCCAGGCACCUGCUCUGGCUGUUUGCUCUUUAACAGAUCCAGUUAGACGCCGGUCAUCCCUUCCUGGUACACAGAUGAUUCAUUCGACGAUCACUCCCCAAUCUGUAACUCUAGCUCCAAUGAUGAUCUCGUCACCACUUCUGAAGUCCUCCCAGCACCCUGCC
Molecule: long non-coding RNA, 617 nt
Filed under: Heterocephalus glaber (naked mole-rat)
Lineage: Eukaryota; Metazoa; Chordata; Mammalia; Rodentia; Bathyergidae
Description: lncRNA (ENSHGLG00100036698.1)
Source: RNAcentral